Molecule: ribosomal RNA, 246 nt
Filed under: uncultured bacterium
Lineage: Bacteria
Description: partial 16S ribosomal RNA
Rfam family: Bacterial small subunit ribosomal RNA
Source: RNAcentral
GGAGGAUGCGAGCGUUAUCCGGAUUUACUGGGUGUAAAGGGCGUGUAGGCGGAGCUGCAAGUCAGAAGUGAAAUCUCCGGGCUCAACCCGGAAACUGCUUUUGAAACUGUAGCCCUUGAGUAUCGGAGAGGCAGGCGGAAUUCCUAGUGUAGCGGUGAAAUGCGUAGAUAUUAGGAGGAACACCAGUGGCGAAGGCGGCCUGCUGGACGACAACUGACGCUGAGGCGCGAAAGCGUGGGGAGCAAA